UCUGCCGCGGCCGGGAAGUUCGAACAGAAGUCUGGGGAAGAGCCGGCGAAGAGCAAAGAGAUAAUACAGUACUCCCAGCUAUAGCAAGCGGCAGUUAUGGAGCAUGCGCAGCAGCAGGGGCGGCCGCAGGUCGCCGUUCAAUAAUACUCAAGGGAUUUGUACAGCCCUGUAGGAGACACCUCCAGAGAAAGUAACAGCUCUCAAUUGAUUAGCUGAGAAUAAACAGAUGCUUUUACAGCUCGCCUUGGCGGGAAGAUCUGGCACAAAUGAAGUAUCUAUAAGGAGCAGCAGAGUCAAGGAAGACACCAGACAAAUGAGUUACACUGUUUUGGACUCCCCAACACAACCCAGCCACCGGCUGAAUGCCACCAAAUUACCUUCUAGUUAAAGGUUUAUGGAGCAAACGAAUCACCUAUUCAAUAUCUGCUUGAAUUUCUGACUCAAAAUACAUCAGGUAUGUACUGUGUGACUUAAAUAUUGAGUUUAUUUUUAUCAAAUACCUGUCAAGAAAGAAAGUCAAUUCUGAAACAGCAGAAGCUCAAAGUUCUACAGAUGGCUUUCAAAGGAAUUUGAAUUAGACAUCAUUUGAUGUUGCAAAAAACAAUGACAUCUUUUAUAGCUCUAAACAUCAGUUUUUAAAUUAGAGAUUGAUCUAUAAAGGAGCUAAGUUUGCAUAAUCAUUAUUCAUUUUAAGAUAAUAAUAUAUGAUAGGUACUAAAUUAUAUAGUAGUUUUGUGUAGAGAUUUAUACAUAUUUUCUGAUUGCCAUCAUCACAUCAUCUAAUUAUUUAGAAAUUUCAUUUUCAGAACCUUGGAUUUUGGACAUAGAGCUUUGAAAAAUAUUGUACUUUAUUUUGAGAUGAAAAUGUGGUCAUUCACAUUUUCACAGACCUGCGUGGAGCAAUCUGCAGGGUGGGGGUGAGAUUUGGGAGUAGAGGGGAGGUGGUAAUAGACACACACAAAACUUGUU
This 969-nucleotide long non-coding RNA is filed under the name Homo sapiens (human). RNAcentral describes it as "HSALNT0308255". The record is from RNAcentral. Lineage: Eukaryota; Metazoa; Chordata; Mammalia; Primates; Hominidae.